AGGGUGAGGGGCGCCACCGAGGAAGCGCCCACCGGGCUCCCGGGGCUGCCAGGCCCCAAAUUGAGGAAGUUGACUGCCAGAUCACACUCUGUUGGCCCACGCAGAUAGAUUCCAUUCAUCCUUUCUAAUGUCUACACCAUAUUUUGGAUAACAUGCCAUCAUCUCACAUUGUGUUGAAAGAAGAAACCAGAAUGUUGGGGUUGAUGUAUGCCAUAUGGAUGAAUUUAAACAGUUUCGGCCUUGCAAUAAUUGGUAUACUUCUAAUUGCAUGUGAAAUUAUACUCUUUUUAACGAAAGAUGAAACUAUUCAGUGGCCACAUGUACCCAGUAACAGAGGGAGCAAAGCAAAUCUUAUCCUCAAAGAACUGCAGCUGCUUGUUAGAUCUACCUGGUGGUUCCAUAGAGAAACUGCUCAGAGAACCUGCCUUUACCUCGCCUAAAACAGAACUAUCCCGGAGCUCAGCAAAGGAGUCCAUUCAUCCUCUAUAACUGCUAUACAAUAUCUCUGUUAAAAUGCUGAGAAGAUUUAUCCUAAAAGAAGGCACCAAAGCAAUGGGGUUCAUCAACUCAGGAUCCAGUAGUGUAAUACAGAAGCCUGUUACGAGAUAUAAGGCACUUUGCCCUCGGAAAUCUCACUGUCGGAAUCCUUGGAAAUCACACCACGCACAACUUCUAUUUCUUCAUAAUUUGCAAAGAACCAGUGUGACUCCAGUCAAGAACAAAAGAUUAAUUGUGAAUUAGCGAAGAACUCUAAUUUUUUCAAGCAGCCACAUGGAAAACGCAUUCUAAUGAAAUCCUUUCCAUUGCUCUUUUUUCUUAGUUCUUCAAUAAAGCAUGCGAUUUGAUCACAAAAAAAAAAAAAAA
RNAcentral lists this long non-coding RNA (864 nucleotides) under Homo sapiens (human). Its description in RNAcentral is "long independently transcribed non-coding RNA 301 (LINC00301)". Lineage: Eukaryota; Metazoa; Chordata; Mammalia; Primates; Hominidae. The record is from RNAcentral.